GGGGGCUGCUGUUGAUUGCAAUAGCCAAAGCAAUCGUUAAGCUGCUGCUACGAAAGGUUGUGACUCUGGGACAUGUGCAGGUCAUAGUGGAUGGCUUUGCUGCAAUGGGUUUCCCUAACUGCGGUGGAGCGAUAGAUGAAACCCAUAUCCCUGUCUUGGCACCGGAGCACCAGGGCACCUAGUACAUAAACCGCAAGGGGUACUUUUUCAAUGGUGCUGCAAGCACUGGU
Chelonoidis abingdonii (Abingdon island giant tortoise) is the source of this 230-nucleotide non-coding RNA. The record is from RefSeq and is a predicted model, not a curated record. NCBI's taxonomy places the organism in Eukaryota, Metazoa, Chordata, Testudines, Testudinidae.